GAUGAACGCUGGCGGCGUGCCUAAUACAUGCAAGUCGAGCGAACGGACGAGAAGCUUGCUUCUCUGAUGUUAGCGGCGGACGGGUGAGUAACACGUGGAUAACCUACCUAUAAGACUGGGAUAACUUCGGGAAACCGGAGCUAAUACCGGAUAAUAUUUUGAACCGCAUGGUUCAAAAGUGAAAGACGGUCUUGCUGUCACUUAUAGAUGGAUCCGCGCUGCAUUAGCUAGUUGGUAAGGUAACGGCUUACCAAGGCAACGAUGCAUAGCCGACCUGAGAGGGUGAUCGGCCACACUGGAACUGAGACACGGUCCAGACUCCUACGGGAGGCAGCAGUAGGGAAUCUUCCGCAAUGGGCGAAAGCCUGACGGAGCAACGCCGCGUGAGUGAUGAAGGUCUUCGGAUCGUAAAACUCUGUUAUUAGGGAAGAACAUAUGUGUAAGUAACUGUGCACAUCUUGACGGUACCUAAUCAGAAAGCCACGGCUAACUACGUGCCAGCAGCCGCGGUAAUACGUAGGUGGCAAGCGUUAUCCGGAAUUAUUGGGCGUAAAGCGCGCGUAGGCGGUUUUUUAAGUCUGAUGUGAAAGCCCACGGCUCAACCGUGGAGGGUCAUUGGAAACUGGAAAACUUGAGUGCAGAAGAGGAAAGUGGAAUUCCAUGUGUAGCGGUGAAAUGCGCAGAGAUAUGGAGGAACACCAGUGGCGAAGGCGACUUUCUGGUCUGUAACUGACGCUGAUGUGCGAAAGCGUGGGGAUCAAACAGGAUUAGAUACCCUGGUAGUCCACGCCGUAAACGAUGAGUGCUAAGUGUUAGGGGGUUUCCGCCCCUUAGUGCUGCAGCUAACGCAUUAAGCACUCCGCCUGGGGAGUACGACCGCAAGGUUGAAACUCAAAGGAAUUGACGGGGACCCGCACAAGCGGUGGAGCAUGUGGUUUAAUUCGAAGCAACGCGAAGAACCUUACCAAAUCUUGACAUCCUUUGACAACUCUAGAGAUAGAGCUUUCCCCUUCGGGGGACAAAGUGACAGGUGGUGCAUGGUUGUCGUCAGCUCGUGUCGUGAGAUGUUGGGUUAAGUCCCGCAACGAGCGCAACCCUUAAGCUUAGUUGCCAUCAUUAAGUUGGGCACUCUAAGUUGACUGCCGGUGACAAACCGGAGGAAGGUGGGGAUGACGUCAAAUCAUCAUGCCCCUUAUGAUUUGGGCUACACACGUGCUACAAUGGACAAUACAAAGGGCAGCGAAACCGCGAGGUCAAGCAAAUCCCAUAAAGUUGUUCUCAGUUCGGAUUGUAGUCUGCAACUCGACUACAUGAAGCUGGAAUCGCUAGUAAUCGUAGAUCAGCAUGCUACGGUGAAUACGUUCCCGGGUCUUGUACACACCGCCCGUCACACCACGAGAGUUUGUAACACCCGAAGCCGGUGGAGUAACCUUUUAGGAGCUAGCCGUCGAAGGUGGGACAAAUGAUUGGGGUGAAG
Molecule: ribosomal RNA, 1477 nt
Filed under: Staphylococcus aureus
Lineage: Bacteria; Bacillati; Bacillota; Bacilli; Caryophanales; Staphylococcaceae
Description: 16S ribosomal RNA
Rfam family: Bacterial small subunit ribosomal RNA
Source: RNAcentral